UGAAAAUAAACAGAAUGGGCAUAAAUGGUCAUUUCAGUUACAAUCUGAUAUCAGAAUAAAGGCUUUUCAGACAAAUUCCCUAUUCAUCAAAGAGUAAAGGCUUCACCUUCAUAGACCAUUUAUUUCUCCACAAGCAAAUUAGAGUUAGAACAGAAAUGAGAACAAAACAUGGAAAUAAAAAAGAAUUGUAUAAGAACUUACCACCGAAACAAGGCUGCAAGAAGCAAACAACAAUGAAGAUGAAGAGAAUGGAGGCUCCCUAGGCUUCUUUUCCUUCUGAUUGCCAGCAACAGAUCCAAAACUGGAAGGUGUAACAUCAUCAUCAUCAUCCUCUUCCUCUUCCUCUCCGUCUUCCUCUUCAUCCACAACUUUGUCAACAUCAUCUUUGGGAAUGGCUUUGUCCUCUAGGUUAGCCACCACAGAAGUAUCUUCAUCCUCCAGCAAUCCCAUUUCCAUCUUCUUCUCCUCCUCUUUUUCUUUCUUCUUUAGUUCUUCAUCCAUGUCCUCAAUGGCCUCUUCUAAACACAGUUCAGCCUCUAUAAGAUCAAGUUCCUUUUCAAUAAGCUUCAUCUUCAACUCACCAGCCUUCUUUUUCUCUUCAGUCCACUUUUCUAGUUUAUCAAAUCCUGGCUUCAACGCAUUUUCUAUUGUCGUUAUUAGACGCUUCCAUAUAUUAUCCCUUUUUUGAAUCACUUCCCGUCCAUAGAACUCAUCAAAUCCAAGGGGCAGGAACUUAGCCUUCUUUGGAUCAAUCUCUUCACCUUCUUUCACAGGUGGCUGCCAAAAUAAUCGGACACCAUGUUCCUCAUCCUCAAUGUAAUUGAUCAAUUGUCCAGUUGGGGUAUGCAAAAUGAGCGGGUCUUCAGUAUAUAUUAGCUUUGACGGAUCUUCAGGAUCAGGCUCCGGUUCUUUGUUGAUAAGUACAAAUUCAGGAGUUUCAUCUGAUCAAUAAAAUGUAAACAUCCAUUUAAAAAAACCAAAAAGGAAAAGGAUUCUUCAUAUCACUUUUGGAGACUAAGAAAUAAUAACAGAAGCGAAUAAAGAAAUACCUUUCGACCACCAAUAUUCAAGCUCUGCAGGCAUAGGUAACCUCAGGGGAGCUUUAUAAAAUGAGUUCAGCCACAUUUCUCUUUCCUGAUCAACUUCAUGCACAUAUGUCUUCCAAUAAUCAGGAACCUGCCAACAAACAUACUUAUUUCUUCUCCCUUUUCAUAAUUGUGGAAAGAAUCCACCACGCGAAAGAAAAGCUUUUACUUACUUCGUAGAACUGAUUGAUAAAGCCUGGUGCCAUCCACACAUCUUCCUCCUCAUAGAAAUAGGGGUGUUGAGGAUCACCAUAAGGGCCCCUCUCUUCCCUAACCACUAUACAUGCAAACCAAGAUAAAAAGUCAAGAUUAUAUAAGGUUAAUGUUUAAAAUUGUCAGUGAUUAAAUGUAAAAAGGCAUAGGGGUUCCAAAGUAUCAUGUAGAGGGUAAAUCCAAAGAAAGUCAUGCAUUCAAAUUUCAGAGUAUAGUCAAGUCAGGCCUUCCGCAAUGAGGAACAUCCAACAUGACAAACUGCACUUGAACUUCAAAUCAUAUUCUAGAGGACCCAGAAAACAAAUUAUGCAAAACAGUCAACAAGAGGCUCCUUGAAUCUCCAAAGAACUUCCUUUUGCACCCAAUAAAUAGAUAAGCAGAAGACUGUGAGGGAGGCUUUUAGCAAUGAUAACACUUAUAAGUUAUAACCCAUAUUCAUCUCUAAAUAUGAGUAUGUACAACUUGUAAAUAUUCAGCUUCAUCACAAACCAAAAAGUUGACCUAUUCAGUUACCGCAAGGUACAAAGUUCAGCCACUUCUAUUUUCCUUUUUGUUUUCUUCCCUUUCUGUUUUUUACUCUAGCAUAGCUCUACAGCCAUGAUCUAAUUAGCACAUGCUUGAAACAUUGGCAUGAUUGACACUAGGGGACACAACUCUCAUGUCAACCAUAACAGACACUUGUAGGGACAAUUAUAAGAGAAAAUUAUAUGUCAAAUAUACCUGAACAAGUCGAAUUUUAAAGAUGUUAUGCAUUUUUUGUUGAAGAAACUUGCACAGAGAUCUAUCUUGUUUCCAUAUAUAAAAUCUUAGAAGUUACUGUGUCAAACAAGAUUUUGUGCUUAUGCAAAUCUAAUAGUUAAUAAAGCAAGACUACAUACUUCCAUCUGGCUUAUUAACAAACAUCCGAGCCUUAGCAGCAGCAACCUCUGCAAUACCAGCAUGCAUCUGAAAAACUGCAAUGUCAGAGAAAUACCAUAAUAUAGAAUUUAUUCCAACCCCCCCCCCCCAAAAAAAAAAAACUUCAUUUUGAACUAUUUAUUAAGUAGGAAACAAAUUGAGAAUACCGCUGAAAUGUUCUCAUCACAACCAUCUAAAUCCUCCAAUAACUCUCCAAAAUAGAAUCUACCCUGCACCGUUACAAAUUAUGGAACACAAAAGCAGUCAAGCACUUUUAUAAGACAAUUUGAGUAGCAGAAAUGGUUCAUACAAGUGAAAAAUAAUAUAUCAUAUGUGCAUGUAAUAUAGUAUCAACCAUUAACCAAAUAGAACGAUGAAUGUUUUGCAUUCUCUUAAAACCAUUAUAUCUUAGCAUCUUUCUUUUGAAAAAUAUUGUACAAAUUUCCUACUUUUCAACUAUUAUGUUACUAGAAAGCAUUAUUUUAAAGAAAACUGAGGCCUAUAAAGCAGAGGCAAAAACUUGGAUGCAGCAACACAUACUAAAUCUUAUGUAAAAAUAAAUCCACAUCUUCAUGGAAGAAAUGGAUUGAAUUACGCAAAUUGAGACUCAAACAGAACAGUCUAUAUUUUAAGCACAUACAUAGAUGGUGCGCUCAUUGACUUCAUAUACACCACACCCAUGCAUUCUGCCAUGCUUCCACUGGCCAGCAUAGCGGUAUCGACCCUUCUCCCUGAAACAGAAAUGUUUGUCCUCUUAACACCACAAAUUGAGAUACAUGCCUGCUAAAGUCUCAAAAGUUCGGCAGAAAAAGUAAGAUACAAGUGCCUUGCAUGAUACAAUGUAAAUGCUCAAUAUGUGCAUGUGCAGAUUGGACAAUUGGGUAGGAUUAGGAAAAGCAACAUGCAUAUUAUCAAAAAUAAAAAUAAAAUAAGGCAGAUUCAAAUGCAAUGACAAAAAUAAUAAUAAUAAGACAAAAAGAAAUAGAAUAUUUGAUGGAGAAACAUACGGUUUUCUGCCAAAAUGUUUGAUCCAUAUAUCACUCUCAUAAAAUGGUAUUUCAUAUUGCCCAUCCGCCAGGCGAAUGCUAUCCUCAACAUCCAUCUCUAACCAUUCUCUAUCUUCUGGAGUCAUGAAAUCUCUUGAUAUUAUUUUCCCUUCAGCUCGCAUUUUUGCUUCAAGCCUAGAAAAAUGUGAAAAUUCCAACUUCAUUGUAUCAUUUAUAAUCAAUUGCUGAGAUUGUAAAACCUAUGCUAUAAUAUAAGUGCAUCAUAAAUAGUUCACAAAUUGUUACGUACUUGGAACCUGGCACAGGUGCUAUAUCAGGUAUAUCAACUUCAACAACCCCAUGACCUUCCAUAUUGUUUUGCAACCAUUCACCUUCAUACCUAUAAAAGGAAGCAUCCUGCAAAUUUUUUCUUUAAAAAAAGCGUAAGCAGCUCAAAAGUACUUGAUGCAACUUAGCCCAAUACGGAACAAUUUCUAGACCCAUAAAACAGAGGAAAAUGAAAUAUUUAAAGAGCAAUCUCUGGGUUGAAUAAUGCAGACGCUGUCAUUUCAAUCCUAACAAUGUUGUCAAGACUCGAGUCACUACAGCCCACAACGUAGGGAGUUUGAUAUAGUCCACUUUUUUACUAAUAAAAAACUUUUAGAAAAUAACAAUAAUAAAAGAAAUAUUUAAAGAGAACUUCAAUCGGGCAAGCUUCUAUUUGCACCUGCUGCCGUACAAGAAAGGGUCUUCAUUGCUUUUAUAGUCUAGCACCUUGGUGCUUGACAUCACUGACUCGUAUAACUACAAACAAUCUUAUCUGCAUGUUUAAGGGUCCUUCAAUGCAGGAUGGUACUAGAACAUAGGUAUGAAGAAAGCAGAAAACAGCAUUAUGAUAAAGUGAAGAGAUACACAUACACAAGAAAUCAAGACUGAAGUGUCAAGCAUUGACAAACCUGACCAGCCCCUGUUCUGCAACAUAAACACCUUUGCCAUGAGCCAAAUCAUCCCAAACCGUGCCUUCAUACCUUAAACAAAAUGCAGAAUGACUAUAAUGAGUAAUCAAACAAGUCAAAGCAAAACCAGAAUCAGGCAUACCGUUACCCGGAACUUCAAACAUGUCAAAAGCAAACUACUGGAUUAAAAACGAGUGGAGGGCUGACUUUCAACAUAAAGCCACAAUUUUGCUUCGUGCAAUUGACCAAGUUCAAACUUAUCCAAAUGCACAUUUAGCUACCUCAUUUACAAACUCCCCAGACCUAAAUAAACUACCAUACUGCAAUAAAGUUGCAUGCCUUAACAAGACAAAUAGUAACAAAAUGAGGGGAAAAGAGUAAGAGAGAGAGUCGGUUUAACAUACGAGCUUCCAUCAGGGAAAAUGUAGCUGACCCAAUUGAGAAACUCCUCAAUCCUAUCCAACUCUUCAAUAACUGCUUUGGGGUUCGAAAUAUCAUAAUGAUUGUCCGGUAUAGCCGGAUAAGGCUUCCGAUAAGGAACAUAAAACGGGGCAAUCCCCGGGUCCCGGCCCUCCUUAAUCUCAUCCCUAACAAUUUCCCAAUCUUCCUCAUCAGCCCAAACAGGGUCCCAACCGGGUUUGGUCAUCUCCAGCGGAGCAUCCACCCAAUACUCCUUCAAAUCCUCUUCCCGCCAAUUCUCGGGGUCUGGUGGAAAAUCCCAUAAGUCUUCGAUGUAAACGUAGUCUUCGUCUUCUUCCUCUUGGAUCCUCUUGAUUCUCUUGCUCUCCAGCACCCGAGUGUACCUGCGGAUGUUGGUUUCGGGGGUGUUUACGGUUUCAGGUGGGGCCUCUCCGGGUCGGGUGUAAGUGAGGGUUUCGGAAUCGGAUUCCUCGAUGUAGUCGUCAGAGGAAGAGGAGGAGUAGUCGGAGUCGGAGUCGGAGUCUGCGUAUUGCUGUUGCGACUCAGUAAGUUGUUGUGCUUGUUCUUCUUCUUCAUCAUCCUCUUCUGGGUCUUGUGACUCAGUGAGUUGUUGUUCCUCUUCGUUCGACAUUGCUUUGCAGUAGAAAGAAGGGAGAGGUUGAAGAAGAUAAGGUAGAGAAUGUUAAGAAGAAAAGGAUCGUUAGGAUUGAAGACAGCGGUUUAUCAUUUCAAAAGGGUUUUGGGCGUUUUGGCAUUUUCCAUGUCUUUUAAGUGAUUUUUGUGGUGUACCUAUGUUUGCUUUCUAUUUUCAUUUUGGUAAGUAUAGACAAAUGAUGUUAUCUUUUUUCAUGUGAAAUUGGUAGAUAAUAAUAUUUUACGCAUUUUAUUAAUUUGGUUCUAUUUUUAGAAACUUUAAUUUUAAAUUUUAUACAUUCUCUUAAUUUUAUCUUAAUUUUAAAUUUUUAAAAAUUUAAAAAAUUAUUAAAUGUUUGAAAAAAAUACAUAGAAAUUAAAAUUUAGCGGGUGAAACAAAAACAUGAAAUGGAUCGAAACAAGGGUACUAUUUCAAGGAACGAGGCACAAACAAUUUCAUGGUUCUAGACAAGAUUCUCCACAUCUUUUUCUUCGGUUAUUAAAUGUUAAGUUUUUGGGUUCAAUUAAACUUUCAUAAUGCAUCAUCCAUUGCUUGUGGACUCAUUUGCUAAACUUGUAGACUAGAAUUAUUGAAGAAUCAUAUUUGACACUCUUUUGAUGAACAUACAUUUAUUUAUAUAUUUAUAUGUUUAAUUAUUGGAUUUAAAUUGUUAGACUAUCCAAUAGGAACCUCCAUUAUUGGAUUUAAAUUGCUAGCUGGGUAUAUUUAUGUUGACUGCACUGACAGUAGAAAGCAAAUUUCUAUCUCCAUAUCAACUAUAAAGACUAAGCAUAUCUUUGCUUGAAGUUAUUGUACACAACACUAUGGUGUUAAAAGAAGUGUUGCUAAACAUUUCAAAGAAUAAUAUAUUGUACCUACGCACAUGAUUAUGAGCCUCCAAGUGUUAGAUGUCAUGUUGAUUCUUCAAAAGUGCAGAAAUGAUUUAAUCAUUAGUAUUCGUUAUAUUUAGACCGCAAUAUCUGCUGAGGAGUCUUUGUACCUAAGCACAUGAUUAUGAACGUCCAGAUGCCAUGUCGGUUCUUCAAGAUUGGAGAAGUGAUGGAGUUUUAUGGUGGUUUAAACAAAUAUUCUUGACUUGAAAUGCAAGGGAAUUUUUCCUUUAAACAUCAAUCUUGGGAUUGCUCCAUUUACCAUGUUUACUUGAUAAAAAAUAAAAACCAGUUCUCAUGAUUCAUAUUCGAUUGUUAAUGUUCAAAUUUUGAUACUAAUCAAAUUCAAGCUCAAAUAUUAAAGCUCGUGAUAGCUCAACUUGCUGUAAAUCACAAAGUAGAAUUCAAAUUUGAUUUCCAAUAUUCAAAAAAUUUUCAAACAAAACCCAAAUAUCUUCCAAGAGUAUAAAAUUUUCCCAUUUACACUCCUAGUCACAGCACUCCCAAUGUGGAAUUUUAAAUGAAAAUAAAACCAAUAGGACCAAAAGUAUUGAAGUUGAUCAUUCACCCCAAAUCCCAAUUGCCUGAAUGAAACUUUCGUUGAUCCUUCAACUUUCAUAUAAGAAUCAAAGCAUCCAAGAAAUAUUCCAGAUGAGAUUUUGCUCAUCGUCUAAGCUUUUUCUUUGUAAAGGAAAAAAUGUGCCAAAGCUCAAAAUGAUUUUUCAAUGUCUAACUUUGACGUUAUUUUUCUCUGUUUUUAAAAAAUAAAAGCCAAGUGUAUACUUCAAAUUAAGAUUGGCCAAAAAACCAAUCAAAUACAACCUCAACAAAGACUGACCCUCGUAAGUGCAAUCAUUCAAGUUCCUACAAUGAGGCUCCAUGCCUUUUAGUAUCUGGGUAUGAUUCCAAAUAACAAACCGGAAUAUGCAAAGAUAAGAUGUCUGAAUAUUUCUUCGGUGCAACAUGCAGCUCAGAACGGUUAAGGUUUCCAGGUUGUCUUACACGGCUUCUGGUAGUAGUUGAAGGACAUGAUAAGAUCUUGCAUAAGGAGUGUAACUGAGACUUCUUUCCUCUAGAUUGGUUUUGUGGUUGAAACUUCUGAUGGUCUUGCUUGAAUGCCCUCAACCUUCCUUUGUGGCCUAGCACCAAAGGGAAACUGACCGAAUCAAUUAUUUUCAAUGGAUCGCUGGCGCUUUCCACACUUGACGGAGGAUGGGAUUUUAGUGGUAAUCUACGUUGUUUCAGUGCUAAAAUUGAUUCUCGCAAUGUAGAUGGAACCUGUAAAGCAAAAGAUAGUAACCACUGAAAUCUGAAAUAUAAAAGCAAUGCAACUUUCAAAUGACCACCCAUUCAAUUAGCAUAAAGAAUUGUGAAACUAAACAGAAUAGACAUAAAUGGUCAUUUCGGUUACAAUCUGAUAUCGGAAUAAAGGCUUUUCAGACAAAUUCCCCAUUAGUCAAAGAGCAAAGGUGAAACAAUAAGACCAUUUUUUCCUCCACAUGCAAAUCACAGAAUUAGAACAGAAAUGAGAACAAAACAUGGAAAUAAAAUUGAAUUGUAUAAGAAUUUACCGCUGAAACAAGGCUGCAAGAAGCAAACAACAAUGAAGAUGAAGAGAAUGGAGGCUCCCUAGGCUUCUUUUCCUUCUGAUUGCCAGCAACAGAUCCAAAACUGGAAGGUGUAACAUCAUCAUCAUCAUCCUCUUCCUCUUCCUCUUCCUCUCCGUCUUCCUCUUCAUCCACAACUUUGUCAACAUCAUCUUUGGGAAUGGCUUUGUCCUCUAGGUUAGCCUCCACAGAAGUAUCUUCAUCCUCCAGCAAUCCCAUUUCCAUCUUCUUCUCCUCCUCUUUUUCUUUCUUCUUUAGUUCUUCAUCCAUGUCCUCAAUGGCCUCUUCUAAACACAGUUCAGCCUCUAUAAGAUCAAGUUCCUUUUCAAUAAGCUUCAUCUUCAACUCACCAGCCUUCUUCUU
Molecule: long non-coding RNA, 8051 nt
Filed under: Gossypium barbadense (sea-island cotton)
Lineage: Eukaryota; Viridiplantae; Streptophyta; Magnoliopsida; Malvales; Malvaceae
Description: long non-coding RNA (GBAR_LNC017746)
Source: RNAcentral